GUUGUUGGUCUCUGGUUUCUCCGCGGCACAGGUGUAGCCGCAGAGGCUAGGCCGGACAACUCGGUAGACGCCUUUGUAUGUUAGAAGGAAGACAUCCUUGUUGUUGUCCUCGCCGAAGGAGAAAAUGUAGCCCAACGAUGGUUGGUUGCUGCCUGAUGCAGAUUCGCAGGGUAUUGGAGAGUUCUUGGAGCAGCUGAACGGAAUCAGAGUUGAGGUGUAGUUUCCGCUGCUCUCUGGGGUCUCUGUGCCGGUCCACAUUGCUGACGCCAGAAUGGCUGUAGCCCAUAACAGGGAAGAUGGCAUUUAUAGAAUUAAGCGAUGUAUUCCCUCCAGGAGUCCAUUCUGGAUGAUAAAUGUAUGGGCCCUCAUAUGCACGCCAUCCAUAGUUUCCACCCUUCGAGAUCAAAUCUACCUCUUCAUAUAAAUCCUAUGGAUGUAUGUCAAGGUAAAAAUGCCAAUAAAAGCAAAUGGUCAG
RNAcentral lists this small RNA (475 nucleotides) under Oryza sativa Japonica Group (Japanese rice). Its description in RNAcentral is "sRNA Os03g0691900". The record is from RNAcentral. Lineage: Eukaryota; Viridiplantae; Streptophyta; Magnoliopsida; Poales; Poaceae.